GGAAUCUUCCACAAUGGGCGAAAGCCUGAUGGAGCAACGCCGCGUGGGCGAAGAAGUAUUUCGGUAUGUAAAGCCCUACCAGCAGGGAAGAAGAAAUGACGGUACCUGAGUAAGAAGCACCGGCUAACUACGUGCCAGCAGCCGCGGUAAUACGUAGGGGGCAAGCGUUAUCCGGAUUUACUGGGUGUAAAGGGAGCGUAGACGGCGAUGCAAGUCUGAAGUGAAAGCCCGGGGCUCAACCCCGGGACUGCUUUGGAAACUGUAUGGCUAGAGUGCUGGAGAGGCAAGCGGAAUUCCUAGUGUAGCGGUGAAAUGCGUAGAUAUUAGGAAGAACACCAGUGGCGAAGGCGGCUUGCUGGACAGUAACUGACGUUGAGGCUCGAAAGCGUGGGGAGCAAACAG
Molecule: ribosomal RNA, 402 nt
Filed under: uncultured bacterium
Lineage: Bacteria
Description: bacterial SSU rRNA
Rfam family: Bacterial small subunit ribosomal RNA
Source: RNAcentral